RNAcentral lists this ribosomal RNA (1964 nucleotides) under human gut metagenome. Its description in RNAcentral is "bacterial LSU rRNA". It matches the Rfam family "Bacterial large subunit ribosomal RNA", at positions 3 to 1980 of the family's 2925-position model. The record is from RNAcentral.
UUAAGCUAUAAAGGGCGUAGGACGGAUGCCUUGGCACCAAGCGCCGAUGAAGGACGUGACAAGCUGCGAUAAGCCACGGGGAGUUGCAAAUGAACUUUGAUCCGUGGAUUUCCGAAUGAGGAAACUCACAUAUGGUAAUGCAUAUGUAACCAUACAUGAAUACAUAGUGUAUGGUGGGGAACCCGGGGAACUGAAACAUCUAAGUACCCGGAGGAAAAGAAAGAAAACAAUCGAUUUCCUGAGUAGUGGUGAGCGAAAGGGAAAGAGCCUAAACGUUUGUAUAGUGAUAUAUAAACGGGUUACGGACCCCAUAACGUACUGAUUUUUGUAGUUGAACACAGUUGGAAAGCUGGGCGAAACAGAGUAAAAGCCUCGUAGGCGAAACCGAAAUCAGACCGGGGGUAUCCAGAGUAUCACAGGACACGAGAAAUCCGGUGGGAAGACAGGAGGACCAUCUCCUAAGGCUAAAUACGACUUGGUGACCGAUAGAGUAUAGUACCGUGAGGGAAAGGUGAAAAGAACCCCGGGAGGGGAGUGAAAGAGAACCUGAAAUCCUAUGCUUACAAGCAGACAUAGCACUACUUGAAAGUGUGAUGUCGUACUUUUUGUAGAACGGGCCGGCGAGUUACGAUGUGUAGCGAGGUUAAGUGAUUAAGUCACGGAGCCGAAGCGAAAGCGAGUUUGAAAUGAGCGAUAGUUGCAUGUCGUAGACCCGAAACCAGAUGACCUAUUCAUGGACAGGUUGAAGCAGCGGUAAGACGCUGUGGAGGACCGAACCCACGUUCGUUGAAAAGACCGGGGAUGAGCUGUGAAUAGCGGAGAAAUUCCAAACGAAUCUGGAGAUAGCUGGUUCUCCUCGAAAUAGCUUUAGGGCUAGCCUCUCGUUAGUGUACCGAAGGUAGAGCACUGUAUGAGCUAGGGGGCUUCACGGCUUACUGAACUCUAACAAACUUCGAAUGACGGAUACAUGAUGCGAGGGAGUCAGACAGUGUGAGAUAAGUCUCAUUGUCAAAAGGGAAACAGCCCAGACCUACAACUAAGGUCCCAAAGUACAAGUUAAGUGGUAAAGGAUGUGUCGACGCUAAAACAACCAGGAUGUUGGCUUAGAAGCAGCCACUCAUUUAAAGAGUGCGUAAUAGCUCACUGGUCGAGUAUCGGUGCGCCGAAGAUUAUCGGGGCUAAAACUUGUCACCGAAGUUUAGGGAUAUGCGAUUGCAUAUCGGUAGAGGAGCAAUGUGUACGGGCAGAAGCUGUAUCGAAAGGGGCAGUGGACUGUACACAAGAGAGAAUGCCGGCAUAAGUAGCGAGAGCAAAGUGAGAAACUUUGCCGUCGAAAGCCUUAGGUUUCCUGGGGAAGGUUCGUCCUCCCAGGGUAAGUCGGGACCUAAGCCGAGGCCGAAAGGCGUAGGUGAUGGACAACAGGUAGAUAUUCCUGUACCACCGACAGUCGUCUAAAUGAAGCAAUGACACAGAAGGACAGUCAAACCGCGUUGAUGGAUAUAUGCGGCCAAAUCAUUAGGCUUAUGUGUAGUGAAGUACGCACAUAGUUAAGGCUGAGUGAUGAUGGGGAGUGAAAACUAGUAAUGAAGUUGAUGAUUCCACGCUGGCGAGAAAAGUUGCUAAAUAUGACUGAAGGUGCCCGUACCGCAAACCGACACAGGUAGGUGAGGAGAAAAUCCUAAGACGAGCGGGAUAACCCAUGUUAAGGAACUCUGCAAAAUCACCCCGUAACUUAGGGAGAAGGGGUACCACGCAAGUGGUCGCAGUGAAGAGGCCCAAGCGACUGUUUACCAAAAACACAGGUCUCUGCUAAAUCGUAAGAUGAAGUAUAGGGGCUGACGCCUGCCCAGUGCUGGAAGGUUAAGGGGAUGUGUUAGCGCAAGCGAAGCACGGAACUUAAGCCCCAGUGAACGGCGGCCGUAACUAUAACGGUCCUAAGGUAGCGAAAUUCCUUGUCAGGUAAG